Molecule: long non-coding RNA, 103 nt
Organism: Octodon degus (degu)
Lineage: Eukaryota; Metazoa; Chordata; Mammalia; Rodentia; Octodontidae
Exons: 3
Source: RefSeq, a predicted model, not a curated record
CCAGCAGAGCACACCUAGACUCUGGGGCUAGCACAGUAUACAGUACUGGUGAUCAGACCCGGGUCCUUGUGCUUGCCAGGCAAGCGCUUAGACCGCUAAGCUA